ACGCUAUUUGAUGAGCCUGCGUAAGAUUAGCUAGUUGGUAGGGUAAAGGCCUACCAAGGCGACGAUCUUUAACUGGUCUGAGAGGAUGAUCAGUCACACCGGAACUGAGACACGGUCCGG
Molecule: ribosomal RNA, 120 nt
Filed under: uncultured bacterium
Lineage: Bacteria
Description: partial 16S ribosomal RNA
Rfam family: Bacterial small subunit ribosomal RNA
Source: RNAcentral